AAUCAACGCUGGCGGCGUGCCUAACACAUGCAAGUCGAACGCGAAAGCCCCGCAAGGGGUGAGUAGAGUGGCAAACGGGUGAGUAACACGUGGGUGACCUGCCUUCGAGUGGGGGAUAACGUCCCGAAAGGGACGCUAAUACCGCAUGACAUCCUGCUUUUGGAAAAGCGGAGAUCAAAGCUGGGGAUUCGCAAGAACCUGGCGCUUGAAGAGGGGCCCGCGCCUGAUUAGCUAGNGGUGGGGUAAUGGCCUACCAAGGCAACGAUCAGUAUCCGGCCUGAGAGGGGCGGACGGACACACUGGGACUGAGACACGGCCCAGACUCCUACGGGAGGCAGCAGUGGGGAAUUGUUCGCAAUGGGCGCAAGCCUGACGACGCAACGCCGCGUGGAGGACGAAGAUCUUCGGGUCGUAAACUCCUGU
Molecule: ribosomal RNA, 423 nt
Filed under: uncultured bacterium
Lineage: Bacteria
Description: bacterial SSU rRNA
Rfam family: Bacterial small subunit ribosomal RNA
Source: RNAcentral